GUGCUCAUUUUGGCAGCACAUGUACCACAGCUGGAAUGAUACAUAGAUUAGCAAAAUCCCUGUGCAAGGAUGACAUAUAAAUCUGUAAAGUGUUCCACAUUUUU
Small nuclear RNA from Mustela putorius furo (domestic ferret), 104 nucleotides. The record is from Ensembl. Lineage: Eukaryota; Metazoa; Chordata; Mammalia; Carnivora; Mustelidae.